This 21186-nucleotide long non-coding RNA is filed under the name Durio zibethinus. RNAcentral's name for it is "long non-coding RNA (DZIB_LNC002293)". Lineage: Eukaryota; Viridiplantae; Streptophyta; Magnoliopsida; Malvales; Malvaceae. The record is from RNAcentral.
ACAUCUCAUGUUUUGUCGGGUAUCCCACGUGCAAUUAACUUCUAGUGAAAGAAUCACCUGAAUUAUUAAAGGAUCAGUGAUGCUUAGAAUUUAAGAGUAUGAGGGAUAGUCGUAAAAUAAAGUUUCAUGAAUUUGUUAUGAACAGAUUACAAACAUGCUCUGGGAAUCCAUCCUUUGUUCAUGGCAAGUGUUUUUCUCUGCCUCUCCUUCCUGCUACUCGACAGCCAAGAAGAGGAAAAUAGAAGAAAAAGAACUUUUUCCAAUGCCAUGCUUCCUACCUUCCCUCUUUCCUGAAGCCCUUUCUCCUCCUACUCAUCAGCUUUAGGACAACAUCUGGUGUCAGCUGAUGCACCUAAUGAAGGCAUAAAAGUCAUUAUCACAUCUAACUACCAGAUAAAGGGAUCCCUUUGGUAGGUAGUCUUUGAUUUUACUGGUUGGGACCAUUCGAAUUCUUGCAUGAAUUUGUCUUUCCAACAUUGUGCAUCAAUUCCCAUAAUCAGUUACUUUGUAGUAAGGCUAUCCAUACACUUUUAGAACAAAGGCCAAAGCUACAAAUCCAAAGAUUGAAGUAAUUACUUUGGUUAUCUGAUUCACGAGGCCUUUCAGCUGAUGAGAAAUUUGUUGCAACAUCCCAAGUUUCUCAUCCAUUUAAGUUCGUAAAUUCUUAUUCCUGUGGUUAAUGAUUUUCUCAAACAUGGUAAAAAUGCCUUUCUAUGUCUUGUUACCUACCUUAUCGUCUUUAAGAAGAGUUCGGAGAAUUAGGAACUCGAGUUUUGGGUGUUCAAGGUGUGCCUCGAGUGCCAUUGCAUGCUACUUGUCAUGCUUAUGGUUUUAAAAUCUUUUAGCUACUCCCUACUCCUCUAGUUUAACACCAAGCAUAGUAAAUAUCGUAUUUAGAUAAUGUCUUGAAUUUUUGUUCAUUUCUCUGUUUUUUGUUACAUCAUGAGAGCAAAGUCUUAGUACAAGUAAGAGGGAGGGGAGAGAUUUGGUUCGAAACCAAGCUCUUGAUGUCCCUCAAACGCCUUUAACCACUAGGCUAAAGGCUUUAGGACAAAUUUUUAUUCAUUUUAGUAUCUUAAUAACCAUGUCUUAUUGGCAUAUUGUUGAGAAAAUGGUAUACCUAGUUUGUUUAUUUGUCUUUUUAUUUGUCUGGCUGGGAGUUCCUCAGAGCCUGCACAGAAAAAGCAAAAGCAUUAGGACUGUAAAGUCUUAGUUUGUUUCUUCUUUCUUUUUUUAAUGCCGUUAUCUAUAGAUUCAUGUUAUAGUUAUCUGCUCAUGCAACAUAGAUAUUCAUAUUGAUUACUAAGUGCAUGUUCACAAGGACGAGUUAUAAUUCAUCAUAGAUUAACUGUACCCUCUCUCUCUUUCUUUCAUGAUCUGAAGAGUAUUUGGCUCUCCAGUCACAGAAUGAGAUAGCUUUCCAAUCUCAAGCAACCUCUGCCCUCUCUCUAAGUUCAAACCUGAAGAUGUGAAUCAGCUUUGUUGAUUUGGAGUAUGAGUUCUGUCCUGCUGCUUUACAUAAAAUCCCAACCAGGCUAACUCGUGCCUGUGGGGUAUUUCACUCAUUCAAUUUCUCCUCACUCCCUCUAAAGAAAGGGACAGAAGCUUUUCAAAGGAAAACAUUCCUUGGUCCACGCUCUUGAAAUUUCAUGGCUUUUUAGACUGAUACAUUCAGGUUAUGAUAACUUUUAUUUACUUAUCAAUAUUAAUACUAAACAGAUUGUUAUUUGAUGUUCUUGUGGGGUAUAAAAGAUCCAUAAAUUGAUUUCUAAUUUAAAACUGAUUUAGCUAAAAGUGAAUUUAGAAGAUCCAAAGGGUCUUUUUUUUUUUUUUUCUUCCAAAGGUUCUUUGAAUAAUAAAUCUUAGAAGAAACGCACAGAUCACAUAUUCCUCUCAUAAAAUUGGCUGCAGAAUUUGAGCUGGAAAAGCGGAAACCCAGCAGCCUUUCCCUGCUUUCCCCUUUCCAGAGUCCAUUCACUAGAAUGAGUUCAUUUUCUUUAACCCCAAACAAACAUGCCUAAGCAGGCACCAGGCAGGCACAUCUCCAUACUCAUUGCAGCCACAAGUCGCCAACUUGGCAUGUAUUUUCUAAUGCAAAAAAACAUGAAGAGUUGCAACUGGAUUGAUGAUUUCCAUUGUGAGACCGAUGAUCAAAACCUUCUAAUAUAAGUUUACAAUGAAUUACCGUUUAUAUUUGCUUUUACAAUAGGAAAAAUAGGAUUAAAGAAGCAACUAGUGUCUAGCGUUGCAAGAAAAUGAUGACUUUCUUUGAACAUCGAUGAUAGGAUUUAGGGGACUUGAAUGAACAACCUGUAGCUAAUUGAAGUUUUCUUGAGAGACUGACCUGGUGGAAGGUGAGAUCAGGAGUUCUCAUCUCCCUCCAUAAGUGAUAUAUAUAUCGCGAAACAAUAAGAAUACAUAUACACGUAGAAGGAGAAAGAUGGAAAAUAUGAGAAAGCAAUUGUACAAGUACAUUAGAAUUGAACACUUCAUCACUUCUACAACCAAGAUAUAAUUUACAAAGAUAUUCAAGGAUCAAAUCAAUCUUAAACCUCAAACUGCCAUACUUGAAAGGCAUAAAAAAAAAAAAAAACCAAAAAGAAGAAAAAAGAAAUCAAAACUAAAACUCAUUGUUGAAGAAAUCACUCAAUCAAUCAAAAACUCAACAAAGCAUGACUACCAUUAAUCAAAAACAUGAUGGUAACCAAAUUAGAAAACCCAAAAACUCAUCUCCGCAAAGAAGGGGGAGAAAAAGAACCAUUUUAAAAGAAAACUGAAGACACCAAACUCUAUAUUUUUCUUUCUUUUAGAACUAAAUUUUGUUGCUUUCAUUCAGAAUCACUGGAGCUUGAGCUGGAACUAGAACUUGAGUCAUGCGGUUUUGCAUUCUUACCUUAAGGUUUAGACUUGAUUUUCUGAUGCUUCUUCAUAUUCAUUUUUUGGCUCGCUAGCAGCAUUCUCGCUUUUUCUUGAGUAACAGAGACUCCAUCACUGACUUCAAUCUCUUUAGCAGCAACCACAUCAUGCCGCUCUACUUCUGUUGAUCCAUUCCUCAAGUCUGAAGAAUUGGCAACUUAGCUGGAUUAGAUUCUGGGCGUUGUUGGAAGGCAUUAUGUAUAUCCUCCAGAGAUCUUGCCUCUACAACAGGUGAUUUUGAAUGUGUAUCGACAUGAUCCUGCUGGUUCUCAUGCAUACUUGGAAUAAUUACUUCCUCAGCAUCUACUCCUUUAUGACGUUGCUUAAAAGCCAAAUUGGUAUCUUCAACCGGUCUUGCUUCAAGCUGCUUUAUUUCUGAUGAUUCAUUCCUUAAGUCUGAAUAAUGUGGCAGCUCAGCUGGAUUAGAUUCUUGGCCUUGUUGGCAAGCAUCAUGUAUAUCCUCCAGAGAUCUUCCCUCAACAACAGGUAAUCUUGAAUUGGUAUCUGUAUGAUCCUGCAGAUUCUCAAUCAUACUUGGAAGAAUUACUUCCUCAACAUCUACUCCUUCAUGAAGUUGCUUGAAAGCCAAAUCAAUAUCUUCUACUGAUCUUGCUUCAAGAACAGGCAGCUCAACAUUAGUCUCGGCCUUUAUAUUUUCUGGUAACAAUGCAGAUUCAGUAUAGGCAACAUGAGAUCCCUCUGGUAAACCAAUUUCCUUGACAUUAAAGUCCCCUACAGUAUCCAAUUCAAAGAGGAUUCCUUCAUCAAUCUCUUUAAUCUCAUCUUCCUCUUCACUUAUAUUUUCCUCAUCAACAUGAGUGGCAUAUACUUCUGCUGCAUAAUUAAAGUGUUCUGAUACCUCGUUGGGGCCCUCACUUUCAAUUUUGUUUAGGAUAUUGUCUUUCAAAUCUUCUCGAUCUGUUGGCAAUGUAUGUUCAGGACUCGCAGCAGGAGAAGAAGUGGACUCUGAAGUCAUAGAAGAGAAAUUUGUUGAAAGUUUGUCCUCGGACUCAUGAACUUUAUGUACAUUAACAUCACUGUUGACAAUGUCUACUUCCCCUCUAGACUCAGUUGCAAUUAUAGAUGGCUCCUAAAUCAGAGUGGCCAGAGUUAGUUUUGAUAUCACCAAUUUAAUUACAAUUAGGAUACAUAAAUACCAUAAAAUUUGAGAUACAUAGUGUGAAAUGCAGGGUACCAUAGUACCAUGUCUAUCAAGCACGCUAGAGGAAAAGGGAUGCAUGUGAUAGCAACGGAAGCAAACAAUUCAACUCCUGAGAAAAUUCAGAUAUAUACAAGGAAAUUCAAAUAAAUAAUGCAUUAAAUUGCUUAAACGCCACAGUAUUUAAGCAUACAUGCAAUAAGAACAUUUCAUACUGGGUAAAUCAAUCACUCAGCUCUAUGAAAUCUUAAUUAUCUGCAAAUAUAUGAGUAUCACAUAAUCCAUGUUUAAUUAGCUACUUCAACAUCAUUAUUUGAUGCAAGAAUAAUAUCAUUGCUUUCAACUUGACUACUUUCUUUUGCUGGUAUAUCUGGCAUUAAAGGUUACUUUUAUACAACCAUCAAUUCCUUUGUCGAUAAAGAAACAGAAAAGGAAAAAAAAAGAUAGCAUGAAAAAACAAAGAGGAUAGAUUAUCAUUUUACUUCUACCAAACUCCAAGCUCACAAAAAAGUUUCAUAACUGAGAGAACUUGAUCCAAUGAGAUCAAAGUAAGCAUCAAUAUUUAAAAAAUGAAAUGAAUUUUUGAAGAAUAAAUAUGCAAAAUAAUUUAUAAGAAAACAAAUAGAAGAAAUACUUGCGUAACUUACUUCAAGCUUAUGAUGUUCAUCAAUGUGUGGUUCAUCCAUAGAUUUAUCAGACAGCGACAGCUGUUUCUCCAAUUCUGGUGAACGGUUUUCUCUAGAAGGCAUAGCUUGAUAACUAGAGUUUGAAGGAAUUCCCUCCAUGUUCAUAUCAUGGCCGAGACCAGUAUCAAUCUUUGAAUCAGAACAUGCUGAUUGGACUUGAUCCAUUUCAGAUUCCGUUUUAUGCACCUCCCUUAGGCUAGCCUCUAAAAGGUCAAUUUGUGAAACUUGAGCCACCACUAUCUGACCUGAUUCCUCUGCUGUGGAUGAAUUGGAAGGCAUAUGCUGGUAAGUCAAAGCCAUGGAAGACAACUCCUCACCCUUAUCGUGGUGGUCAUCAACAUCAAGACUUGCAGCAAAGUUUGAAGAUUGCAUUUGAUCACAUUCAGUCUGGAUAAUUUCCUUCUUUGGGCAUAACACUGCCCUCAACUAAGUUAAUCCUCUGAUGAACUUGAUGAAUGGAUUUCAACUCGCUCAAGCUUAGUGUCCUUCCUUAUCAACUGCAUGCCUAUCUCCCGGUUCAGCCUGUGAAGAUUUAUUGGGGUGCAUUUGAUGCUGUUGUACUGCUGGUGAAGAAUUCAACACCUCCCCCUUUCCUUGGUCAACAGCAAGAGUCAUCCUUAAUGAGUCCACUUGAUUCUUGGUAAAGCUUUGUUCCUUAUUUGGGACAUCCUCCUCCAAUCCCUUGUCAGAAGAUGAUGACCCUGCAUCUGUUGAAACAUAUUCAACCACAGAUUCAGGCACCACUGAUACAUUAUGACCAGCAGAAGUGGAAGAAACCCCCGAUGAACCAGCAUAUGUAUCAUCGUGUUCACAAUCUCCGGAGAUCCCUUGCCCUUGGUUCAUUUCAUUAAGUACAUCUAAGGAUGCUGCAUGCAUCUCUUGAAAACCAGAAGCACCCUGCUCAGUUGUUUCACCAUGCCCUUCAGGUUCCUUAUCAGUAAGCUCAACCAACAUUGAGGGUGAACCCAUCUCAGAUAUCUCAGCUUGUGUGUCAGAAGAUACAGAUGAAAAUGAUAGGAACUUCUUAAGAGGACUUGAAUCAUAAACAGGUUCACUAUGCUGAUUAUCAUCAACCACCCUGCUUGUAAAUGGAACUCUGAUUCCUCAAAUGAUGGUUGUAUAGAAAUGCCCAGAUUCUUUUAAUUUCAUGAUCUCUGGGGGUCAAAACCUGCAGAUCCAUCUCCUCUGACAGCAGAUAUUCUUUUCAUCUAUUUCUGAUAAGAGGACAAACUUGAUCUACUGCUAAAUCCUCCUCAACUGGAUCUGUUCUGGGAUGAAUUUCACUUGCAUUGCUUUCCACAUGAAGUAGUUGCUUUCAGCUUCAGACAAAUUUGAUUUCAUUUCCAGCUGACUUUCUCAUCUCUGAUGUGAUCUCAACCAAAUCAAUGAUGAACAUCUCUAUUCUCGGCUUGGCCAACAUGAGAUGUUGGUACAAUUUCACUUGCAUUGAGUUCCACAUGAGCAGUUGCUCCAGCUUCAGACAAAUUUGAUUCCAUUUCCAACCGACUUUCUUCAUCUCUCAAUACGAUCUCAACCACAUCAUGAUGAACAUCUCUAUUAUCGGCUUGUUCAACAUCCCCAGACGCUUCACUCUCUUGUUCAUCAUGGACAGAAGCGUGAUCUUCAUUCACAAUCAAUUCAUUUUCUAGAGAAACAUCUUGUUCAUAUGACUUGUCCUCCUCAUCCAGAACUGAACUCACUGAUUCAGUAUAAGGAAUAGAACUCAACUUCGACUCGCUAACUUCACUUGACUGCCUUUGGAAUGGGGAAGGGUUAGCUUCCUUCUGUUACUAACCGCUCUGGAACAAAAUAAGGUUUCCAGUUAAGCUCUUGCUGAGGAACACCUAAAGAUGAUGGUCCAACAUUGAAGCUUUCAUGUCUUCGAAAGAAGGCUUCUCUUUGGAGAAUUGUUUCCUUUUGAUUAAAACCUGAAAACUCUUGUUGGAAACUGUCUCCUUUAAGAUUGAAUUUUUCCACACUUGAGUCAUAAGGAAGAUCAACAGGGUUUCUUCUUGGCAGCAAAAUGGAUGGAGCUGAGCCAGGAAUGGGAGGCAACCCUAGGUCAUCGUAGGAAUCAUAUGGAAGUUCAAAUGGGUUCCGUCUUGUAGAAAUUGGUGUGAUGUUUAAGGGAAUAUCAGCACUAUCUAGUCUAUUAGAUUCCUCUCAGCCAUCAAUCUCAUGUUUUUACAGGCUCUACUCCUUGCAAUAAGAUUCUCCAAUCGUUGGUUUCUUUCAAGCUUUGAAGUCCCCAAAUCCAUGAGAUUCUUCUUAUAAUCAUCUGUCCAUUUAAUUGCAGAUUUACUUUCAUCCUCUUUAUCUCCCUUUUCCCCUCCUUCAUCCUCCUCUCCAUCAUUAUCUUCCUCCCUCUGGUUUUCUAACUCAUACAAGUUAACACUUUCAUCAUUAUUGCUGCCAUGAGAUCUCUCUGAGGCAGAAUCCAGACGAUCAUGAGAUAACUGAGCUGGGUGUAGAGCUUCAGGGCCCAAAAGUGGAUGCAACUCAUCAAGCAUCAGAAUUAUAUCUGCCAUUGAAGCAUCAGGAGAAGAACUCUCAGCACUAUCAGAACCAGAAUCCAAAGAUUCAUCAUCAUCUUCAUCAACACCAUCAUCCUCAUCAUCUGCGGUGCAUUUCCAAGAUGACACCAGAGAAGAAUCCAAUUCAUCAACCCUUGGUACAUCACUGAAACCUGCAUUGCGUUUACCAUCCUCCACUUCAAGAUUCCUAUCUCCUACCUCAUCUGCUAAAAGAUGUCGAUCAUCUGCAGCCUCUCCCAUACUCAACACACCUUCACUCACCAGCAUCUCUUCCCGAAUUUCCCACUUCUUCUCCAACAAUGAACCACUCAAUGUUCCCUCCAACUCAUCAAUCAUCCCAUUCUUACAAUGAAUAUCCCUAGAAUCCAAAUCCUCAUCAACCAAUGGCUUAUAGCGAACUGAACCAUUUUCUUCCUCUGCUUCACUGACCUCAUUAUCAACCAAAUUAUCUUUCUCAUCAGCAUUGUCUGCAAUAUCCCACUUCUUCCCUACAUAUCUUUCAACAACAAAAUCAUCAUCACCACCACCUCUCUCGAAAACAGUAUCAUCCUCCGUAGCCCCAGUUUUCAAUUGUGAAACUUCAUGACUAACUUUCUCUUCUUCUUCCUUUUCGUCAAUUUCGGGUAUAUUUGGUGACCCAAAACUCAAAAGAGUACCAAGCAAAACAGCAGUGCAAACCAAAACAGGAGAUGCGGUAACCAAUACAGAAAACAACAAAGGAAAUGAUCUAUUCAAAAAAAUCAAAAAACAAAACAAGCCAACCCAAAAUGGAUGAUUCCGAACCGAUCUAUGACAUGUUUUAACUGAUAUCACCAUAAAUUUCCUAACUCUAACUCCAAAUUCCAAUCUUUCAAGCCCCAUCUCUCACUAUAUAUAUAAAUUUAUUUCUUCUCAAUUUCCAACCUGUUUAAAAAAAAAAAAAGAACCAAUUAAAAAUAAAACAGCCCACUGGAUCCAAAGCGAACAAAUAUUUCACAAAAUUUAACUGUGAACUCACCUUAGAGGUAGAAUUAAGUGAAAGACAGAGCAAUCAAAUGAAGAUCAACCCAAUAGCUGAAAAGCAACAAUUAAGAGUUUUUGAGUAUGAAAUUGACUAACAAACAAAAAAAGAUGGAAAUUUAAUUCAAAAGAAGAAAAUGUUAAGCAAAGCUGAAAACUUUCCAUCACAUAAAACUUAAAACUUUCAAGCAAGAGAUAGAAAACCCGACAAUACCUGGAAAAACCCAGAAACCUCGGGGCUUUUAAAACUUGGGAAAUUGAAACUGAAGGGAAUUCUGAAAAUGGGCCAAAUACAAAUAGAUCAGCAAUUAAAAAAAAAAAAAGCAAAAUGUAAUCCUCUGUUUUUCUUUUCUGCUCUGUGUUUUCUCUUUCUUUUUGCUUACUUUUUUGGCUUAGCAAAACAGCUAUGAAGUCGUAAUGGUUGGUUGCUUUUUCUUUAUUCAAUUGUUUUGCUUUGAAAGAAAACGAGAAAGCAAAUGGGGUGGCACAAAAAGAAGAGAAAGAAAGUGAAGACAGUUCCUACUGUAUUCUUCUUUUGUUUUUCUUCUGUUUUUUUUUUUUGGCACUACUUUUUUUUUUUCAUUUUAUUGUGGUGAUUUUUUUUCAUUUUAUUAGAAAAAGAAUAUUAAUUUCUUUUAUCAUUCUUUUCUUAUAGAUCAAUCCAAUUAGUUGGCAUAAAAUCAUGAUUAAUAAUUUUUUUUAAAUAUUUGAAUUUUACCAUUUUUUAAUAAAACCUUAAUAAUUCAAACUUAAAAUAUUUAUCCAAAUCUCAAUUCAAUGAAUUGUCUUAAUCAACUUUAAUAAAUUAUCUUAAAAUUAUUACAAUUAAAUAUUGGUUUAAAAUCUAAAUAAAGAAGCAUAAGAUUUAAAACAAAACUUGAUUUAAUUGAUUUAUAUAAUUAUUUUUAAUAAAUAAUAUAAUAAAUUUAAAAUUUAAAAACUUAUAUUUAUAUUUAUUUAUUUUUAAACUAAGAUUUCCUUAAAAAAACAUAUAAUUUAAUUUUAAUUUCCUUGAUAUGUUUUUUUUUUUAUUGUAUUGUGGAUUUUGCCAUGAUGAUUACUUCAUCCGGCAAAGAGAAUUUAUUCCAUUCUUGCUUUUUUCGUAAAGUUUUGGUGUUGGUCCCAUAGAUUUAUUUAACUUGGAGAGGUUUUAUUUUUGUUUUUCUAAUUUUUAAUCUACUCUACUCGAUCUCAUUUUAAUUUUAAAGAAAUUUUUUUUUAAUUUUUUAAUAAAAAAUACAGGUUACAAAAGCAUAAAAGUAUUAACCCAUUUUUUUAUUUUAGAAAAAAGAUAAAAUGUUUUACAUUAUUUUAGAAAAAUGAUGGAGUUUGAACAUAGAUAAUUUUAACAAGAAAGGUAAAAUUUUUAUUUUUAAAAUUAACAUUCAUUGUUACUAUUUUUUAUAUAUUUAAAUAUAUUUAAUAUUUUAUUUUAAUUAUAUAUAAUUUAUUGAUAAAAUAUUAAAAUAAUUUGAAAUGAUGUGAACCAAAUUUGAACUCAAAGUUUUUGUUCAAGCCUAGACCAAUGCGGAGCCAAGCUGUGGGGGCCGGAAUGGGCUCCAAUAUUAAUCAUCCGCUCCGGCUCCUUUAUGACAAUCUGGUUGGCGGUUGGCCCAACUAAACGAGCGGCCCUGACCCGCUAACGUCAAAAUUAUUUGCACAAACCAAUUUUUUAAGGAAGCAAAUAAAAUAUAAAUAUUAAAUUUUAAUUUGACAAAAAAAAAUUCAAUAUUCGAGAGACAAAAGGGCAAGAUUUUUUUAUCGUUUAUUAACAACAAAAAUAAAAAAUAUAUAAAAAUGAGUAAUAAUUAAAAAAAUACAUAAAAUAAAAAAAAUAAUUUGAAAACAAUAUAUUCAUUUUUACGAUUAAAAUUGCGACAUAUAUUUAUAAAAAAAUAAAAAAAAAUGCAUCGUCAUCUUCUUCCUUAAAAUCACCAAAACGUCACCGCCGUUUCGCUGGUAACCCUAAUUUUACACAUCUAUCCCUCUUUACCUUCUAUUUCCAUUCUCUUAUAUAUAAUAAAACAAAGGAGUGCCCGAAAACGAAAGCCAAGCAGAUUCCACUGAGAAAAACGACGUCGAAUCCGACACUUCCCUUCUUUCUCAUUUUUCUUUUUUUUUUUUUGAUCAAGCUUUCUUGUUUUUCUUCGAGAAGCGAAAAAUUUUCGAUAUUUCAAAUUGAAUGAUCGAAGACGAUGCCAAAGAAUUAGUGGAGAAUUGUAAUCCGACGCCGUCUCAGCUAUAUGGCUCAGCAACAAUCUUCGCGACUCAAUCGUUUACUCACUUUGUUGGAUAGUAUCCUUUUUUUUUUAAUAUUUUGAAUUAUUUCUUUUUAAUUUGGAUCUGAUUGAAAUUUUUCGAAAUUCAAUAAGCAUUUUCCUUUUGUUUCUUUGACUGAUUUUGUUUAAAAAAGCUGGUUCAACGCAAGCGACGAGAUUCACUGCGGCAAGACAGAUUGGGGAUAUUGCCAAAUCGCAUCCGCAGGACUUGAAUUCUCUUCUCAAGAAGGUACUGAUUUCAAAUUUGUGAUUUUUAAUUUCUUUUAAUUUUUAUGCAUUCUUAGCAAUUAUUUUAGUGUAAUAAGUGUUUUUUUAUUGGUCAAUUUGGAGCUUUUUGGAAUUUAUGUCAUUUUGAGGAAGAAAAAAAAGCUACAUUUCCCUGAUUUUUUGGAUUUAAUGCAGUUGUUGUAUUUUUUUAAGAUUAUUUGGAGAAAGCAAAGAAGCUAUACCUUGUAUAUUACGUUGCCAAGAUUGAAUUUUGACAUUUAUUAUUAUUUUUGGAAUAAUGCGAUUGUUGACAAAAUUGGAAUUGCUGUUUUCCAUGCAAUUGAGUUUAGUUGUUUAGCAAAAUACCUAAAUAAGCUGAAGUCGGUUUAGUAGGCCACUGGACUUGCCGGUUUCUGUGGUUUUUGUGCUUGUGGUAUUUAUGACUUAAAAGACUUUAGGUGGCAGCUAACAUUUCGAAGUCUGUGUUUAACCUUGCUGAAUUAGGAUUGUGAGAAGUUUAUCCUAAAUGUUCUUCUUUCCUAAGCCGUCAACAUUCUUACUUCUAAUAUGGUUCUGUUAUAGGGCUUAAAGGUGGAAUUCGACCCAUUUUAUCAAAAUGCUUGGAUGUUCUUGUUGUUUUAGGAAAAUAAAUAAGAAUACUAUUUUUGAAUGCCAUAGAUUUUAGACCUCUCUUGCUGUCUCUAUGUUUUGUUCCAUUUUCCCCUGCACGCUGGGCCGCUUCACUAAUUGCUCUUUUUAAACUGUAAAUUUUUAGAAAUUAGACAUUUUAAAUUGUUGCAUUGCAAGAUUCUAUUAAAUUAUUCUUUUUUCAACCUAGAAAAAUCAUUGAGGCUGUAAUUGAAGAUUCUUCAUUAAAUUUUAGCUUGAAAGGUAUUUUUCUUGGACGUUUGUAAUCAAAAUGCAGAACAGUUGAGUUAACUUUUGAGCUGUUCUCAAGUUUUCUGCGUUUUGCUACUUAGUAUAGGGAUUGAGCUAAGCACUAGUUAGGGUUAUUUUAUUUAAUUCUAGUGUGAAAUUUACAUUUUCUAAUUAUGUAUUUCUACCUUUUUUUUUUUUGUGUUGUUGUUAUGACAUCUUUUUACCAUGGACUAUCCUUCUGGGGUGGACUUGUCAGUUGCAUGUUAUUGUUAUGUUUUGUACUUAAUCAUCUACCUAAACUAUAUUGUUUUUGUGCAAUUAGCUUUCUCAGUAUCUUCGUAGUAAAAAUUGGGACACAAGGGUUGCUGCUGCUCAUGCCAUAGGAGCCAUUGCUCAAAAUGUUAAGCACACUUCUCUGGCUGAUUUAUUGUCUUCUGUUGGAGCAAAGAUGACUGAGGCUGGGAUAUCUGCUAGUGUUGAAGAUGUGGUGGCAUCACCUGACUUACAUUCUAAAAUUGUGGCAGGUGUUUCAUUUAGAAGGUUGUUUAUGAGAUUUCUUUUUUCCAUUUUCUAUUGUACCAAAAUUUUCCUCGGAUGGAAAAAUAUUAUGCUUGUCAUUAAUUUCAGUUCCAUCUUUCUAAGUAUGCGAUUCUCCAAACAAUAUCUAGUUGUCUUCUUUACUGACAUAUGUUUCUUUGAAUAAAUUGUUUUUAACAGCUUUGACAUCAACAAGGUGUUGGAGUUUGGGGCUUUGUUGGCCUCAGGUGGACAGGUAAAUGAUCUCCAUUUUAUGUUGAAGCCAAAGGAUUUAGUCUAAAUAUCAUGUAUUAUUCUUUAUUAGGAUUUUAAUAACCUUGAAAAAAAUUCCACAUGUUAUACUGAAAAUUUUCUAUUUAAUUCCUUUUGUUAAUUUCUCAGUAAAUGUACAGCACCUUUCUUUCCAUUCUUGUUAUUUCUAGCGAUGAAUGGUCAAGGGUUAGAAUCUUCUGUCUUUGUUCUGGCUGAUGUCACAUUUCUGAUUUCCUUUAUUUGACAUUGGUUUCUUUCUUUCUCUCUUUCUUUCAAUUUCUUGUAAAGUAGCUUUUCAUAUUUGUUUUAUUUAUUUUUGUUUUUCGAUCUCUGGAGUUGUAAAAUGCCUUUGCUUUUUGUAAACAAGAUCAAGAACCUUUUCCCAUCCUUUCUUAUCAGUUUUCCUGUGGAUGUUUUUGUUGAAUAGAGAGAAGUGUGUAAACUUAAGUUAUGUAAUAAUAUGGCAUCUAUUCAGACGGUUUUCUGGGUUAUCUAAUAAUGAUAAUGAUAAUAAUAAUAAUAAUAAUAAUAAUAACAAUAGAGCUAAAAAGAAUUAAAGAGAAUUGUGAUUGCCUUUCUUCACAUUGUUUCCUCUUUUUAAAGUAUAUUUUGAAUGGUAGUUAUUCUGAUUAUGACAACUAGCAUCAUUUUAAUAGUCAUAUGUUAUCUUGACAUUUAUCUGCAUCUUGUUGAAAUAAUUGUUUAGGUUUGCAAGUCAGUGUUAGUAGCUUGUUUGGUUGAUUGAAGCUGGACUAAAAUUUGAAAUAACUGAUGAUGAUUUUAUUUAUUCAAAAAUUUUAUUAAAUCUGCCUCUGAUAACCUUCUCAAUGCAUUAUUUUUAAAGCUCUAAGUUAGAGCCAUCACUUCUGUUCUCUAGAAGCUUACUUAUGGGCACUAGAUACUAACGGUGAUUUCUAUAGUUCUCCGCAUCCCCCUGUUCCUCCUCUCUGGCACUACUAGUUUUCUCUUUGAUUUAUAAUGUAUGCCUCCCUCUAAUAAUUUUUUUUUUUAAUUUGUCGCAACAUUGGUCGUUUUGUGUAUUAAUUUCAAUUUAUAGCAUUUUCUGUGCUAAUGAAAACGUUUGAUUCCUUUUCCAAUGCAGGAGUAUGAUAUUGCAAAUGAUACUCAAAGAAAUCCUAAAGAGAGAUUGGCUCGCCAGAAACAGAAUCUAAAACGACGCUUAGGUUGGUACUUUUUUUUUCUUUUAAUGAGUUUAAUUAAGGAGUUUGAUGAUACUUCAGAUAUUUUAUCUGUGGUUUGAUUUGUUUGUUGUUUACUAUAUGGUACUAGAAAGAAUUCUGUAUAUUUUAUCAAAAAAAAGGGGAAAGAAGUUUUUAUUUGAGAUAAUUUCAUUGUCAGGGUAAAAGUUUGCAAUGUUUUUAGGAGUUCAAAAUUUCUGGCAAGUCUUUUAGAUUGAGACGAUUGAUAUUUUGUUGUCUCUAUGAUCUAUUCAUUGGUGAAGGUUUUAUGAAGAUCUAGUGGAUUUAUAAUUUUUUUUCCUUUUUAUGUCCUGUUGAGGUGGGGCUGGCUUUUCUUUUUUUUUUUUUUUUAAUUCUGGCGGUGGGGAUGGAGCGGAGGGAGAUUGGAUUUUAUUUGAGCAUUUAUAUCAAGGAGGGAAGGUAGAAGAGGUGUUAUUAUAACUUGAUGUUGUUUAUCUGUUGUUUCAUAGAUUCCAUAAAUAUAUAUUUCAAACCUAAAGAAAUCUGGCUUUGAGUUAAAAAUCUCUUGGCUGAUAGUUCUUUAGUGGUAUGGUGUUGGGUAUGACAUAGACACAUGUCUAUUAGCUUGCUUGGCAAAAGUACAUUGGAUGGAGUAGAUUGGGAGGACGUAUCAUGCAUAUACCUCUCUCUCUCUCUCUUUAUAUAUAUAUAUAUAUAUAUAUAUAUAUAUAUACACACAUAUGGGCAGUUAAUCUAGGCUUUUCUGUAAUCUAAGCAGUAAGUCGCAAUUAUGUUACAUUCAGAACUUGGAAAGUGUGAAAUGGGUUCUUUAACAUGGGAAGUUGUCAAUUAGGUUCCGUUUAGGUGAAGCUGUUUCAUUUGUUCCUUGGUCUGAAGUUACCAAAACUGCUUAAUAUUAACUAGAGACUAAGGACCUUUGAUACAUUGUAGGUUCCAGUUAUCAGGUUAGCUUCCUUUGUUUGAACGUAAAACAAAUUAAUGUUGUUUUCUGUCCUAAAACUAAUCAGAUAGAAAAUUCAAUUUUGUUCAAUUUUGUCAUUGAAAACUUGGUUGUCUUGUGGUUUUGUAGUUUUAACUUUUUUUCCCCUUAAUAUUUGUGAAGAGCUUCACCUUUUAAAAUUUUUAAAAAUGAUACUAACAUUUUAGCUUAAAUUUGUGGGUGGGUCCUGAUACUCUUUUAUAUUCUGAUGCUAACAUAAGUCAAAAUGAGAAGGGGGAGGGAGGUCAUUUUUCCAGUAAGGUUGCCAUCAGGUUGUAAGAAUGGCUUCAAUUCAAUAAUUUUUCCACAUGGCAAACAAUCAAGAGGUAAAUAAGCAUUUUAUGUCUAAAACAAUUUGGAAUUUCAACUCAUAUGAACAUAAACUGAGCCUUUGCUGUAAUUAUAUUCCCAUUCCAGCAAAUUAAAUGAUUAAGGAAGGUUGGCGGUGUAAAGAGUGGGACUCUCUGCUGUAGAAUUCAAUAAUUUACAUGCAUUUUUAUUUGUUUAGUUUCUUCCUUUUUUUUGUAAUUUGCAUGUGUUUACCCUUUGUUAUGAGUUAAAUUUUAUUUCAUAAUUUGUCAAUUUGGUUUGCAUGUAUGAUUUCUUUACCUUCAGUUGUCUCCCUUAAUGAGUUCACAAGAGGCUACUGAGUUUGAUAUGUUAUACUUUCCUUGCACAUGGUUUUCUUACACCGGACUUGGUUGUCGUGGGCAGGUUUGGAUAUGUAUGAGCAGUUCAUGGAUGUCAGUGAUAUGAUUAGAGAUGAGGACCUUAUAGUUCACAAAUUACACAACAAUGGAAAUGGGUUAGAUAAUAGAUUUUACAAGUCGCCAUCUGUACAUAAUAUCCAGCAAUUGGUUUCACAUAUGGUACCUAAUGUUAUGUCUAAAAGAAGGCCAAGUGCAAGAGAGUUGAAUAUGUUAAAGAGAAAAGCUAAAAUAAAUUCGAAAGAUCAAGCAAAGGGCUUGUCUGAUGACGGAGAUACAGAGGUAUCACUAGCUCACAAUGUAUCAACUCCAAGGGGAACAUGUCCUGAUCCAUUAGAUUCGAGUAAGGUACUAGAAUGUCUCACUUGCUAAUUAACGUAUAAGUUCAUGAUUUUGGUCUUAGAAUACCUAGCUGUUAGGUCUAAUGUUUUAUUUAUGUAUGUUGAAUGCAAAACUUCAUAUCAAUUGGGUGCUACAUCUUUUUUAUUUAAUAAAUAAUAUGAAAGUCUUAUCCUUGUUUUGGUUACAGCAUCUGUUACAAGAUUUGCAAUUAGUUCUAUUUGAUUCCAUUCACAUUCAGUUUCUGGACCUAGUGUGUGUGUGUGUGUGUGUGGUUUUUUUUUUUUUUUUUUUUUUUUUAUAAAUUUAGGCAUCACUAUGUAUCUAUAUUCUUUCACCAAAUUCUUGAGAAUUCNNNNNNNNNNNNNNNNNNNNNNNNNNNNNNNNNNNNNNNNNNNNNNNNNNNNNNNNNNNNNNNNNNNNNNNNNNNNNNNNNNNNNNNNNNNNNNNNNNNNNNNNNNNNNNNNNNNNNNNNNNNNNNNNNNNNNNNNNNNNNNNNNNNNNNNNNNNNNNNNNNNNNNNNNNNNNNNNNNNNNNNNNNNNNNNNNNNNNNNNNNNNNNNNNNNNNNNNNNNNNNNNNNNNNNNNNNNNNNNNNNNNNNNNNNNNNNNNNNNNNNNNNNNNNNNNNNNNNNNNNNNNNNNNNNNNNNNNNNNNNNNNNNNNNNNNNNNNNNNNNNNNNNNNNNNNNNNNNNNNNNNNNNNNNNNNNNNNNNNNNNNNNNNNNNNNNNNNNNNNNNNNNNNNNNNNNNNNNNNNNNNNNNNNNNNNNNNNNNNNNNNNNNNNNNNNNNNNNNNNNNNNNNNNNNNNNNNNNNNNNNNNNNNNNNNNNNNNNNNNNNNNNNNNNNNNNNNNNNNNNNNNNNNNNNNNNNNNNNNNNNNNNNNNNNNNNNNNNNNNNNNNNNNNNNNNNNNNNNNNNNNNNNNNNNNNNNNNNNNNNNNNNNNNNNNNNNNNNNNNNNNNNNNNNNNNNNNNNNNNNNNNNNNNNNNNNNNNNNNNNNNNNNNNNNNNNNNNNNNNNNNNNNNNNNNNNNNNNNNNNNNNNNNNNNNNNNNNNNNNNNNNNNNNNNNNNNNNNNNNNNNNNNNNNNNNNNNNNNNNNNNNNNNNNNNNNNNNNNNNNNNNNNNNNNNNNNNNNNNNNNNNNNNNNNNNNNNNNNNNNNNNNNNNNNNNNNNNNNNNNNNNNNNNNNNNNNNNNNNNNNNNNNNNNNNNNNNNNNNNNNNNNNNNNNNNNNNNNNNNNNNNNNNNNNNNNNNNNNNNNNNNNNNNNNNNNNNNNNNNNNNNNNNNNNNNNNNNNNNNNNNNNNNNNNNNNNNNNNNNNNNNNNNNNNNNNNNNNNNNNNNNNNNNNNNNNNNNNNNNUAUGGGCAUUGGACAUGGUCCAUUGGGUCUUAUUUUCUGUCGAAUUUAGUUACUACGUAUGGUCUUUAGUUUACAUUAGUUAAGUUUUAUUCCUAAGCAUAAUGGUUUUAGGAAUCCUAUUCAAAGUAGGACAAAUGAUGAUUAGACUAUAUCUCUUAGAAUUGCCAAUCUUGGCAAAUUUUAAUUUCAAGUUUAAAGAAAAUUUGAGUUAUUGAAAACUCUUAGAAAUUUGUGAUUUAGUUUUUCCUUCCUCCCUUGUCUUCUUCUAUAUUGCCAUAGCAUUCUUGAGUUACUUCCCUUCUUUGGCACCCCUAACCACAUUCUCUCUCUUGUGACUUUCAAACCUAAUUCUUGCCUCAUAUUUUCAUAUCAAUUCCCCACUAGCCAGACCUCUCAAUUCAACAAUUAAAGUUUCCUUCAGUUUAAUCUUCCUCUUGAGAUCAAAUGUCAACUAAUCCAAUAACCAAAAGAUUCUUAAACCCUAACCUUAUUCCUACAAGAGCAAUAAACCCUAAAAUCCCUUAUUUUCCAGUCAAAACUGCCAUAAACCCCAAGGAGGCAAAACUUCCACGUUUCUUCCCUAGACUAUUUUAAUGUGUCCCAACAAAAUUGAUUUUCACAAACAUGGUACACCAAGAUUUUUUAUAGGACACCAACUCAAAAUUUUGCCAGAAAUGAAAUUUCGCAAUUAUUGUCGCUUUCCUUCCUCUUGCAAUGAUAAAAUACAGUACCAUAAUCUCAAAUCCUUUCCUCAAGCUUUCAGAUAUUUGCACUCCACUCUAAAUUCCGUGAAGGCCAUAUCAUCGGUAUUAUAAAUUAGUACUCACAAAGCAGUAUCAGUUAAAAACAAUUUUUCAACUAUAGCUUUCAUUUUCUUUAUAAUUUUAUAACCUAACGCCUUCUCUAAUCGCAAACUGACCGCCAUUGAGUCUAUUGUUUGCUUUUCAGCAUCUUCUACUGUUCAACAACAUUCACAAAAAUCUCUCCAACUAUAUAAAAUCUAUUUACUGAUAAAAAAUAAGAAAAAUUCUCAGUAAAACAAAUUAGAAACAUUCAAAUUUAAAUUAUUUAAUUUUGCAACUUACAAAUAGAAAAUAAAUAAAUUAAAACUAGAAACAAACUAAAAGAAAAAAACAAAGAACUCUCAACUGUACCUAAUAUCAAAAUUCUCCACAGAGCUGACAUCAGCUUCCAAGAUUUCAAAUUGUCAAUUCCAUUUCUACUUAAGUUUCUUAGCAACCAAAUAGAAACCUAGGGUUUCGAAGCACUCAAAGAAAAAUUCAACUAAGUUUACAAAGCAGAACGAAAAUAAUAAACAAGAAUUCAAUUAUAAUAAACAAAGAACGAACCUGAGAUUGCUUGCAGCAGUAGAAAUAAGGGACAAAUUUGGUAAAGAAAGCGAAAAAACCUAAAAAUUUUUAGAGAGAAGAAGCCCUUUAUUUUAUUUUAUUUUAUUAGCAAGAGAGGGUUUGAGCGAAAGAGAGAGAGUAACCUGUCAUAGAGAAAGACAAUUUUUUUUACUUCGGGAGGAAGUAUUAAUUAAUAAAAAAAUGAGAAUAUUAGGGGGCUUACGUGGAAUGAUCAGGACGGCAGAUCUAAACUUUAGAUUUAAGUUUGGGAUUUUUUUUAUGUUUCUUCUUUUCCUCGGAAAUGAAGCCAUGUUGCCGUGAGUGAGAGUGACUGAACUUUUUUUUUUCUUUUUUUGCAAAAGAGAGUUGGCCCAAAUUGGGCUUCCACACCAAUCAUUGCUGGUGCCGCUGAUUCACGUCUUUUGACGUGGCGCAUGGGAAAGGUGAUAAAGAUUUGAAUUAGAUUUAAUAUUUUUAGAUAUUAUAUGUUGUUAUAAGAAUUUAUAAUUUAAUCUGAAUUCAAUUCAAAUUUUUAUUUAAUUUAAAUUUAAUCAAAUUAAAUUUUAUCGGAUUCAAUUUAAUUUUUUUAUUUUUUAUUUUUAUAUAUUAUUUUAAUAUAAAAUUUUAAUAUAUUUAAAUAAAUUUUAAUAUAAAAUUAUUAUUUUUAUUUUAUAAAAUUUUAAAAUAUAUAUAAUAAUUAAAAAUAUAUAUAAUUCGAUUCGAUUUGAUUCGAUUUUUUUACUUUUUAAUCCGUAUUUAAUAUAUAUUUAAUAUUCAAAUUUAAUCUGAACUAAAUAAAAAAAAUCAAUUCAAACUAAACCGAACACUAUGAUUUUGAAUUAAUUUUUUGAUUUUUCAAUUUUUUUUCAUCUCUACAUAUGAUUUGAAUGAAAAUAAGUUCGGAUAAAAUUAGAUUCGAUUUAAUUUUUUUAAAUGUUAUAUAAUAUAUGAAUUUUAAAAUUUAAUAUGAAUUCGAAUCAAAUCUUUAUAUAAUUUGAAUUGAAUUAAAUCGAAUUUUAUCGAUUUUAUUCAGUUCUGUUUAGUAUUUUUUUAAUUUUAAUUUUAUUAUUUUAAAAUAUUAUUUUAAUGUAAAAUUUUAAUAUAUUUGAAUAAAUUGUAAUAUAAAAUUAUUAUUUUUAUUUUAUAAAAAUUUAAAAUAUAUAUAUUAAGAAAUAUAGGUUUUUUUUUUUUUCACCUUUUAAUAUGAAAUUCAAUCCAAACCUAAUAUAUCUAUAUAUUUAUUUAAUAUUUAAAUUUAAUCCAAAUCAAAUAAUAAAAAAAUAUCCAAACCAAAUUAAACACUAUAAUUUCAUAUCAAUUUUUUAUUUUUUUUAUUUUUUUUCUCACCCUAUGAGUUCUCCUGGUUAAUAUUCUCAGGUUAGUCAGUUGAAGACCUGGGUUUACCUAUACAGAGAGAUUUAAUUAGCUUUACCGGGAUUACAUGGUUGCCGACUUGCUGUCAUUUGACUAAUAUCUUGAAAUUCGUAAGCCCAAAAGUCUGCAAACGAAUAAGCUACUGCACUUUACAUUUCUUACGUGGCAUAUUUCAUUAUUAGAAUUUUCUUGACACAGAUGAUGGAGACUCUUAACUCAGCACAAGCCAAUAGAGUGGCUACUAUCCAUCUUAAGGUAUGUAUAUCAAACAGGGAAAAAGCCAUUUUGUCUCAUCUUGUACGUAUUGAGGGCCUUCUCAUCAUCAUGUAUACCGGAAUGGUGCCCUUUUUCUGAUAUCAUGGGUAAACUUAUGGUGAGGAACAUUUUAUAUGGUAAACUGCCAAAAAGAAGAGACAUCUCAUGUUUUGUCGGGUAUCCCACGUGCAAUUAACUUCUAGUGAAAGAAUCACCUGAAUUAUUAAAGGAUCAGUGAUGCUUAGAAUUUAAGAGUAUGAGGGAUAGUCGUAAAAUAAAGUUUCAUGAAUUUGUUAUGAACAGAUUACAAACAUGCUCUGGGAAUCCAUCCUUUGUUCAUGGCAAGUGUUUUUCUCUGCCUCUCCUUCCUGCUACUCGACAGCCAAGAAGAGGAAAAUAGAAGAAAAAGAACUUUUUCCAAUGCCAUGCUUCCUACCUUCCCUCUUUCCUGAAGCCCUUUCUCCUCCUACUCAUCAGCUUUAGGACAACAUCUGGUGUCAGCUGAUGCACCUAAUGAAGGCAUAAAGUCAUUAUCACAUCUAACUACCAGAUAAAGGGAUCCCUUUGGUCGGUAGUCUUGAUUUUACUGGUUGGGACCAUUCGAAUUCUUGCAUGAAUUUGUCUUUCCAACAUUGUGCAUCAAUUCCCAUAAUCAGUUACUUUGUAGUAAGGCUAUCCAUACACUUUUAGAACAAAGGCCAAGCUACAAAUCCAAAGAUUGAAGUAAUUACUUUGGUUAUCUGAUUCACGAGGCCUUUCAGCUGAUGAGAAUUUGUUGCAACAUCCAAGUUUCUCAUCCAUUUAAAGUUCGUAAAUUCUUAUUCCUGUGGUUAAUGAUUUUCUCAAACAUGGUAAAAAUGCCUUUCUAUGUCUUGUUACCUACUAUCGUCUUUAAGAAGAGUUCGGAGAAUUAGGAAUCGAGUUUUGGGGUGUUCAAGGUGUGCCUCGAGUGCCAUUGCAUGCUACUUGUCAUGCUUAUGGUUUUAAAAUCUUUUAGCUACUCCCUACUCCUCUAGUUUAACACCAAGCAUAGUAAAUAUCGUAUUUAGAUAAUGUCUUGAAUUUUUGUUCAUUUCUCUGUUUUUUGUUACAUCAUGAGAGCAAAGUCUUAGUACAAGUAAGAGGGAGGGGAGAGAUUUGGUUCGAAACCAAGCUCUUGAUGUCCCUCAAACGCCUUUAACCACUAGGCUAAAGGCUUU